This is a long non-coding RNA of Pocillopora damicornis (cauliflower coral), 244 nucleotides long. Lineage: Eukaryota; Metazoa; Cnidaria; Anthozoa; Scleractinia; Pocilloporidae. The record is from RefSeq and is a predicted model, not a curated record.
CUUGUGCAAACAAACAAACAAAUGUUCAUUUUAAGUCGUAUUUUGUUUUUCCCCAGUUCAAACAGUAAGCACAGAAGUUUACCUGACAGCGACAAUACAGGAGGACUGUAGCAGACGUUCAGAAGUUGCUGCGAAAUUUCCAGAAAUGGCUUGUCAAAUUGCCUUCAGGUUUGGCUGCUCAUCCGCCAACACUGUGAACACCAGGUCCUGAGGAAUGUAACUGCCCAUCUAACAACGUCUUGUU